GGGACGUUCUCAGGUACGGCAACCUGACCCUGACUGUAAAUCAGGAGCCUCCGGCUUUCUUGGUUCGAAUCCAAGCCGUCCCACCA
Molecule: transfer RNA, 86 nt
Filed under: Methyloversatilis sp.
Lineage: Bacteria; Pseudomonadati; Pseudomonadota; Betaproteobacteria; Nitrosomonadales; Sterolibacteriaceae
Description: tRNA-Tyr
Rfam family: tRNA
About the family: Transfer RNA (tRNA) molecules are approximately 80 nucleotides in length. Their secondary structure includes four short double-helical elements and three loops (D, anti-codon, and T loops). Further hydrogen bonds mediate the characteristic L-shaped molecular structure. tRNAs have two regions of fundamental functional importance: the anti-codon, which is responsible for specific mRNA codon recognition, and the 3' end, to which the tRNAs corresponding amino acid is attached (by aminoacyl-tRNA synthetases). tRNAs cope with the degeneracy of the genetic code in two manners: having more than one tRNA (with a specific anti-codon) for a particular amino acid; and 'wobble' base-pairing, i.e. permitting non-standard base-pairing at the 3rd anti-codon position.
Source: RNAcentral